RNAcentral lists this ribosomal RNA (497 nucleotides) under uncultured bacterium. RNAcentral's name for it is "partial 16S ribosomal RNA". It matches the Rfam family "Bacterial small subunit ribosomal RNA", at positions 28 to 507 of the family's 1533-position model. The record is from RNAcentral.
GAUGAACGCUGGCGGCGUGCCUAAUACAUGCAAGUCGAGCGAACGGACGAGAAGCUUGCUUCUCUGAUGUUAGCGGCGGACGGGUGAGUAACACGUGGAUAACCUACCUAUAAGACUGGGAUAACUUCGGGAAACCGGAUCUAAUACCGGAUAAUAUUUUGAACCGCAUGGUUCAAAAGUGAAAGACGGUCUUGCUGUCACUUAUAGAUGGAUCCGCGCUGCAUUAGCUAGUUGGUAAGGUAACGGCUUACCAAGGCAACGAUGCAUAGCCGACCUGAGAGGGUGAUCGGCCACACUGGAACUGAGACACGGUCCAGACUCCUACGGGAGGCAGCAGUAGGGAAUCUUCCGCAAUGGGCGAAAGCCUGACGGAGCAACGCCGCGUGAGUGAUGAAGGUCUUCGGAUCGUAAAACUCUGUUAUUAGGGAAGAACAUAUGUGUAAGUAACUGUGCACAUCUUGACGGUACCUAAUCAGAAAGCAACGGCUAACUACGUG